Molecule: unclassified non-coding RNA, 246 nt
Filed under: fungal sp.
Lineage: Eukaryota; Fungi
Description: partial internal transcribed spacer region
Rfam family: Eukaryotic small subunit ribosomal RNA (bases 1-46)
Source: RNAcentral
AAGUCGUAACAAGGUUGCCGUAGGUGAACCUGCGGCAGGAUCAUUAAUGAUUACACACAAAAGUCGCGCCUUUUCUUCGGAAGGGGUUCGCAACCGCCUGGUGAGAGCCUCGUCUCUUUUAUUACGUACGCGGGCUUCUCUGGAUGAUUCCGUCUCCCUUUUACGUACGGAAUCGCUGUUCCAACCAGGCACCCACAACAGAAAAAUACAAAAAUAUCGUACCUUCGGUGGAUCACUCGGCUGGUG